RNAcentral lists this ribosomal RNA (207 nucleotides) under uncultured bacterium. Its description in RNAcentral is "partial 16S ribosomal RNA". It matches the Rfam family "Bacterial small subunit ribosomal RNA", at positions 568 to 774 of the family's 1533-position model. The record is from RNAcentral.
CUCGUAGGUGGCCAACUAAGUCAGACGUGAAAUCCCUCGGCUUAACCGGGGAACUGCGUCUGAUACUGGAUGGCUGGAGUAUGGGAGAGGGAUGCGGAAUUCCAGGUGUAGCGGUGAAAUGCGUAGAUAUCUGGAGGAACACCGGUGGCGAAGGCGGCAUCCUGGACCAUUACUGACGCUGAGGAGCGAAAGCCAGGGGAGCAAACG